RNAcentral lists this ribosomal RNA (426 nucleotides) under uncultured Chlamydiae bacterium. RNAcentral describes it as "bacterial SSU rRNA". It matches the Rfam family "Bacterial small subunit ribosomal RNA", at positions 958 to 1385 of the family's 1533-position model. The record is from RNAcentral. Lineage: Bacteria; Pseudomonadati; Chlamydiota; Chlamydiia.
AACGCGAAGAACCUUACCCAGGCUUGACAUGCAGUGGACGAUACCAGAGAUGGUAUUUCUCUUCGGAGCCGCUGCACAGGUGCUGCAUGGCUGUCGUCAGCUCGUGCCGUGAGGUGUUGGGUUAAGUCCCGCAACGAGCGCAACCCUUAUCAUUAGUUGCCAACAUAUUAGGUGGGAACUCUAAUGAGACUGCCUGGGUUAACCAGGAGGAAGGUGAGGAUGACGUCAAGUCCGCAUGGCCCUUAUGUCUGGGGCUACACACGUGCUACAAUGGUCGGCACAGAAGGCAGCUAAGCCGCGAGGCAGUGCAAAUCCCAAAAGCCGAUCUCAGUUCAGAUUGUAGUCUGCAACUCGACUACAUGAAGACGGAAUUGCUAGUAAUGGCGUGUCAGCAACAACGCCGUGAAUACGUUCCCGGGCCUUGUA